RNAcentral lists this ribosomal RNA (568 nucleotides) under uncultured bacterium. Its description in RNAcentral is "partial 16S ribosomal RNA". It matches the Rfam family "Bacterial small subunit ribosomal RNA", at positions 355 to 1375 of the family's 1533-position model. The record is from RNAcentral.
UGGGGAAUAUUGCACAAUGGGCGCAAGCCUGAUGCAGCAACGCCGCGUGAGGGAUGACGGCCUUCGGGUUGUAAACCUCUUUUAGCAGGGAAGAAGCGAAAGUGACGGUACCUGCAGAAAAAGCGCCGGCUAACUACGUGCCAGCAGCCGCGGUAAUACGUAGGGCGCAAGCGUUAUCCGGAAUUAUUGGGCGUAAAGAGCUCGUAGGCGGUUUGUCGCGUCUGCUGUGAAAUCCCGAGGCUCAACCUCGGGUCUGCAGUGGGUACGGGCAGACUAGAGUGCGGUAGGGGAGAUUGGAAUUCCUGGUGUAGCGGUGGAAUGCGCAGAUAUCAGGAGGAACACCGAUGGCGAAGGCAGAUCUCUGGGCCGUAACUGACGCUGAGGAGCGAAAGGGUGGGGAGCAAACAGGCUUAGAUACCCUGGUAGUCCACCCCGUAAACGUUGGGAACUAGUUGUGGGGUCCAUUCCACGGAUUCCGUGACGCAGCUAACGCAUUAAGUUCCCCGCCUGGGGAGUACGGCCGCAAGGCUAAAACUCAAAUGAAUUGACGGGGUCAUAGCUGUUUCCU